UGUUAGUCUAGAAUCUGAUGGGUAAAUGUAGGUAAUCUCAUAAACUCCUUGAGGUUCUGUUUUCUAUAAAGCAAAGAGACACCUGAUUUUUCUAACUCCCACUGUAAAAGAGUGCUGGAUAAUAGGUGGGAAAGUACCUUGACAACCAUCCUUGCAGUCCUAUGGGACUUUUUGUUUUGUACUGUGAUGGCUAUGAUGAUGUAGCAAGAUUUUCAUACUUUAAAUAUGAGGCAUGCAUUAGCUGCUCUGGGAAGGGGUUGCUUAAAGGGGUUAAAUUUGAAUGGGCCACCCAGGAGUGUUGGAGUCCAAAUUAAAUCAUCUGGUAAGCUGAUGUGCCAGGGCAGCAGAUAAUUCAUAGUCAGGAGCUGUCGGGGAUUAUGCGGGUUGUGCAUGUAACUUGAUUGAGGCAGUGACAGAUGCAUUCAAAGCAUGUUCCAGGCUCUCUAGACAUUUAGACUUCCUUCUAGGAAAGCUGGCUGUUGUGGUAGGCUCUCUCCAGCAACUUCAGGCUGGGAUUUGGUCAUGACAGAUCAUGAGGUAGGGUUCCAGAACAGGACAGGGGUGCAACAGGGAUCAGGUGGUCUGCAGAGUGGUAUAGCUCCACCGUGUCUUGAACAGGACAUUGCAGCUCUAUUGCAUGUCUUAAGGUUCUAGAUGUUGAAACCUAUUUCAUAACUAGUUCAGGUAGAAUGGUUUAUAUUAAUCCAAAUUUCAUCCAUGCUUCAUAUAAAUCCAGUACACCAGUGAACUCAAACUCCACGGAGAUGAAAUAUCUCUUAUAAAUAAAAGUUGAUCAAAUGCAACAUUCUCGACCCCAUUCCAAGAGAUCACUAUUCCAUGGUUCUAGGGUAGGAACCAAGAAUCUACAUGCAAAAAGUUCUUUAGUGAUUUUGAUGCAGAUCAUGUACAAUUUCCAGUCUCAGGGGGAAAGUGCAGUAGAUAAGGGAAAGCGUCUGAACAAGAACUACCAUGACAAAGAGUUGAAAAUCAACGGUAAUUGAGAGUUGACCAUGAACCAGGUGCUCUUCUAAAUACUGGCCAUCUCAUUUAGUCCUCAUGGCGAUCCUCUGAAAUUCACGCUAGUAUUCCCUCCGUUUUCUGAACAGGGCAACAGAGGCACAUACUAGUUAAUAAGAUACAGACACCUAUGAUAACACCUCCUGCUCCUGCUUUCAUAGUAAAAUGUGUAUGUUUGAAUAACUCAGAACUUGGUUGAAAAGGAAUAGAUUGCCCAAACCCAACCCAGAGACAUAGCUAUUGCUCCAAUCAUUCCAGCAAUAUAGCCCCAUUCUAAUACUAAAAACCCAUGGCAACCUAGCCAUUUACAGUAGGGAUGGAGCUUGGGGGAGAUUGCCCAUUCAAGAAUCUUUUUCAGAGUAGGCACACUUUGAGACUGGGAACCACAAGUUCUAGUAAUUCCUCAGCCUCUACUGCUGAAGUUGCUCUUCUCCCAAUCAACUUUCUCUUAUUUGGAACCUGUUGAAAUGAGGCAGGCCUCGCACUUGCCUAUCAGGUUUAUGGAAUUAAGAACAUUAGGCUAGGAACGUAGCUCAGUUGGUAGAGUGCUUGCCUCGUAUGCAUAAGGUCUUGGGUUCAAUCCCUAGUACCACACACACACUAAAAAAUGUGUAAGCUUCUACUAAUUAAAAAUAAAAUGUUCAUGAUUUAUGGCCUGUUCUCGUUUAAUUGAGAGUAGUAGUACACUCACUGAAUUCUAUAUUUACCCUAUUGAAUUCUAUAUUUACCCUAUGUCAUAGAAGAAUUCAUUUGACUCUUGCCCUUUUCCUUACUAGAAGAACAAAAAGGGAGAAGACUUAGGGAACCCCUUAACUAGAAAUAGUUUCUGGGAAUAAUCAGCCAGCCCCAAGAGAGUUAAUUCUUGAAUGAUUCGUUACACAUGUUCUUUAUGGAUUUAACUAUUCAUGGACCAUGAUUUUAAAAAUCUUGAAGUUGGCUGAACAUGACUCACAAAUUUUGGAGCUCCAGAAUUCUAGUCUUAUGUUUGUAAGUUCCUGACUACUACAAUGUUCCAGUUGAUUAUUCUGCUAGCACCCCUACCAUCAAACAAAUCCCAAACCAAAUCAAGGUCCCCAUUGAUUACUUUUUCUCUCCUAAUGGCCCUAUUUCUGUUCAGUAACAUGGUUCUCUCUGUUCAGCGUCAGAUAACAUCCACGCUCCCUAGAAUCAGGUGUGAGAGAUGUCCACAGUUUCACCCAGGCCUGCUUUACUCUUCCAAAACCUCAUCACCAUCACCACCACAAUUCAGAUGCCUUUCCACCUGGAACUGUCUGGGCCAUAUUCUGGAACCUUCUCCCAACAUCUUCCUUCUCUGUUCUUUCUACAGUUCUUCUUCCUACAAUGGCUCUGGCAUAUUGAAACCUUCUUAUACUCAAAAAUCUUCCCAUAACUUUUAUUGCUGGACAAAUAGAGUUCAAAUUUACUAAACUCAAAGUCUUAUGUACCAGACCUUGUGUAAUUAUCUUCUGUAGUAUCUGUCUAGCCAUGCAUCCUACAAAUUCUUUAUGAGCUUUUUGCUAUUCACAAGGCUGACUUAGCCAUCAGAUAUGAGAGGCACAUUGCCUAGUCCCAUAAUGUCUUUUAGAGUUUCAUGAUGUUUUAAUUUCUUUUAAAAUCAAAAGAAAAAAAUGAACCUAAUCCAAGUUGGAUUAUGUUAACAUUUAUACUAGUAUGGUUAUAAAACUUAAUUUUGAGUGUUUUUUAAUAAAAAAAAGGAACCCAUGAAAGAAUUUAUGUUUCAGUCUCAUAAAAGUCAUAAUGCAAAUUCCAUUUAUUCCUUCACUAUUCAUUCAUUCAAUCAACAAAAUAUUCAUUGGACUUCUGCUAUGUUUCAAGCACUAAGGGAAACAGUCUCGAUUAUCAGAGGCUUUAGAUGCUACUCUUAGAGACAGAGAAGUUAACAAAGAUAGCAACAAAAUGAUUAUAAAUUCUGGCACAUGUUGAGAUCUAAACGUGGGCUGAGAGAGAAAGAACAUUGGCAGGAAGAGGUCCUACAAUAGAUGUGAUGGUCAGAAAAGGUCUUUUUGGAGAAGAUGAUAUAUAACCUCCGAGUUAAAGGUAUAGGAAAAAAGCUGACCUUACAAAGAGAAGUAGAAAGAACAUUCCAACUGAAUUUCUGGGUGAGACUUGUGAUCUUGGCUGUCGCUCUGUUUCCUGGAUGCUCCCAUUGAAGAGACUCUGGCCUUGAUGAGGUUCUCAAACACAAUUUACACUCUUCUGUUUCCAUGGUUUUGCUCAAACUACUGCCUUUCCCUAGAGUUCCUUCUCCUCUACCUCCCUUUCUCUAUUUUUCAAAGCCUCAUCCAUCCUCUAAGGCCCAGUUCAAAUGCCACCACUAAGCCACUGCCUCAGGGAUUCCUCCUCCGAACAGACCUGCUGAAAGUGAGCUUGCUUGUCCUUGAACCUGCCACUCACUCAAGUGCUUAUCACUUAUAAUCCGCUGCCCUUUCUUUCAUAUCUCUCCUAUAUCCAUGACUUGCCACAAUUUCCUUGAAGGUAAAGUCUAUCUUUUAUAUCUUGGCAUUUCUUAAACUACCUCCACAGUGACCCUCACAUAUUAGAAAUACAGAAAAGUUCUUCUGGAUACAUGAAAAAUGAAUGAGGGCAUGAUUCCAAGGCUGGCUGUGUCUCCGUGUUGUAUUUCCACAAUCUUUCCUUUAUUUCUUUUAUUUCCUCUUCCAGGUUAGGGCAGCAAUGACUGCUGCGGGGACUGUGACACUGGUGAUGAGACUCUGCACAUUAAAACAGCAUGGAGAGAGGAGAGGAAUGGUCAGUGAGCUCAGGAGGGCGUGGCGUCUUCUGCAAAGACACGAAUAAAUCACUAACAAACAGAAACAGAAUUCAGCCCCAGUACCUAGAACUGAAAACUAAAAAAACUAAACACAAACAAAUAAGCAAGGAAAUGAGUGUGUGUGUGUGUGUGUGUGUGUGUGUGUGUAGGUACAGAAAGAAUGUGUAGAAUAAAUAAAAGAUUAAAAGCUAGAUGCCUGCUGGUGGGACUGAAACAGUAAUUUUACAUUAAGAUUGUUCUACUUUUCUCUGGGGAAAUCAGUCUUCAAAGAUUUUUUCUACACCUUGAGUUAGACAAAGAGAUUGGCAUUGUAGGUGGCUCUCCAGCAAGCCAUGGGUGUAAAACAGAGCCCCGAUGAGGGUGGGCACAGCUAUGCAUCCUUGGGAACUGUGGGGAGCAGCACAUUGGGCUAGCAAAGCAAGAGGAGAGGGGAAACCAUACUCCCACCAGAGCAUGGGUGUUUAAAUAGCGUGCCACGGUUGCGUGGUUGUCAGAUUUGGGUUGCUGGUUCUUAGCAGACGGUGACCAGUCAGAGGCAUUCCAUUCUACCAGUCAGAAAUGCAGAAGAGCAUUGCACAAUUCAAACGGCAAAGUUAAAAAUAUGGCAAUCCGAAGAGAAUUGGCCGACGGAGUGGAGUGAGUCCUGGGAGCUGUUUUGGAUCAACUCUCUAAGAAGGUCAGGUGGUGAAGAACCGGGUGAAAACAUCGCUGAGCAUUGAUCUGAGAUGGGUAAAGUAUUGCUGAUGGGGUGAAGUAAGUGGGGUGGGCAUGGUGGUGAGGGAACAGUACUUCCUGAGCCCCACAAGCGAUGCAGGUUUAACGGCCUCUGGGGCCAUACCCUGAGUGGCCUGGAGAAGCCAGUUGGCUCAGGCUCCACCCACGGGUGCUUGUUUGUCCUCCAGUUGUUGGCUGUUUGUUCAUUCCACAAAUAGUUAUUCCACCUACUGAAUGAGGCACUGUCACAGAUUCUGGGAGAAGAGGUGAGCAAAAAGUAGGCCAAAAUCCUGCUCUCAUGGAGCUUAUAUUCCAGAGUCGAGAACAUAAGGAUGUAUUUUAUUGUAAAGAGAAAGCAUGCUUAGAUUCUAAAGACUCUAAAGACGAUCCUUAGAUGAAUUGUCUACCUAAAAUAGACAGUGGAUACAACAGAAGAUACAAAAUGUGCCAGAUGGUGGUAAGUAGCUCGGAGCACCCAAAGCAGGGCCAGCUGACUGGGAGGUACGGCGAUCAGACAAGAUCCCUCAGAAAUGGAGACUGUUGAGGAAACACCUGAAGUUCAGUGAGAGGGUCAGCGUGUGGGUAUCUGGGGAAGGCAUUCCAAGCAGGGCAAAUAGCCAGGCAAACCCCCUGAGGUAGGCCAUGUCUGGUGAGCGGGGGGACCCCGAGGGGAGGAUGUGGCUAGAGGAGAGGGAGACUGGGGAAGGCAUUAAGAGAAAAGUUCAGAGAAGUCACUGGGGACAAUCAUGUGGCACCCCUGCGAGGACUUUGCUGUGGGUGUAACUUUGGACAGAUGAGUUACCUAGAAUGACCUCUAGGAAGUGAUGUGCUUCUCCUCACUCCCAUUUCCAUCACGGGGGAAAUAGCCAGGGAGAAAGGACUGCAUUUCAAGGGGCAGCUUGGAGCGCAGGAUUGGGGACCUUGGCAGUAGAGUUGGGUGUCUGUAGGCCAAGGGCCUCAGGAGAUAUGAAUGCAAAUAUUCUAUCACUUCUUCUCAGGAUUGCCUACAGAAGAGAGAUCUGCGGUAAUAGUGCAUGGUGGAAAAUGAACCAAGUGUUGUCUUCAUGGAUUUAUUCAUCUAUGAGGUGCCCUGAAUCAAGACCCCAAUCUCCCACAUCUAGCCUGUAUAACCAAUGGGAGUUCAGGGGAGAGGUCUGCCCUGGAACCGAAGUGUGGGCACAAUAUAUAAAUAGACAGUAACUGAAGAUGUGAAGAUGGAUCACACUCCAUGGAGAGUGAGAAGAGACAAACACACAAGACAAAACAUUGAGGAAUGAUAAUAUUUAGUGGCUGAGUAGAGGAUGAUAAGCCUGAUGCUGAGAGGGAGCAGCCAGAGAGGUUAUAAUAAAUUCUCCUUAGUUAGAUGAGAAUUGAAAUUGUUCUUGACAUCAGACAUGCAGUUCUCAGCCUGAGGUACCUGGAACACCAGUGGCAUGGAGACUUUGGGUUAACAGCACUCUGUGUUUUCAUGAAAAUGAUUGUCCUCCAAUCUUUUGUGUCACUCUGCAAGUGUGACAAACCCUACUAAUAACCCCAUUUUUCACCUAUGACAUUUUCAUAUUCUAGAAGUAAUUUGAAUAUUUAACACUGGUGAAACAUGACAACGAAAAUUAUACAAAUAAAGUUCAACUAUUGCAGCAA
Ictidomys tridecemlineatus (thirteen-lined ground squirrel) is the source of this 6163-nucleotide non-coding RNA. The record is from RefSeq and is a predicted model, not a curated record. Lineage: Eukaryota; Metazoa; Chordata; Mammalia; Rodentia; Sciuridae.